ACAUACUCCAUGAAGUGUUGGGAGAUGAAACCCACAUGUCACAAGUCUAUGUCUUUAAUCCAUGUUUUGUUGUGCAAGGCCUCGCUAAUUGUCUUUUUUUUGUUUUUUGAAAUGCGGAAGAUGUUUGGCGCUAUAUCUUGGGGCCUUUAACCUUGGAGCCACGCGAUACUCUAGAAGGAUGCUCUCGAGCCAUCGCCAACUAUGAUUGAUGUUGCUGCAACAAAUAGAAGCCUAUCAGUUGCAUCACAUGACAUGUCAAGGUUGUUCGUCACCCUUCCUUCUUCCUCCCAUUCUUUCCACAACCAUCUAAGGUGUAGUGCUCUUGCAAAUUUUCCAAGAGGAAGUAUCCCUAGGUCUCCAAAUUCAGUUGGUAUUGUGGAAUGUGGCCAAUUUACUUUAUAUUUCCCCCUAGUUUUUCUCGGAUCCACCUAGAGGAAGCUCUUCCUGAGGUUAUCAAUUUUCUUCAGCGUGGCUUUGGAAGCUCUUAGAGAUGUGAGGUAGUACACAGUUUGUGAGGUG
RNAcentral lists this long non-coding RNA (519 nucleotides) under Sorghum bicolor (sorghum). RNAcentral's name for it is "long non-coding RNA (SBIC_LNC009052)". Lineage: Eukaryota; Viridiplantae; Streptophyta; Magnoliopsida; Poales; Poaceae. The record is from RNAcentral.